RNAcentral lists this long non-coding RNA (421 nucleotides) under Homo sapiens (human). RNAcentral describes it as "MIR9-2 host gene". The record is from RNAcentral. Lineage: Eukaryota; Metazoa; Chordata; Mammalia; Primates; Hominidae.
UCAAUAAGACAAGUCUUCCAUUGAGCAUGCUUGGGCAAGUACAGCUGGAAUAGAAAAGAUAGACAGUGGAUUCUUUGGCUUCAUCCAAGUGGGCUGAGGAUUGAAGUAUUUUUCCAGUCAUGUUCUUGAACACCUACUUUCAUGGCAUGCUGACAUUUCCAGACUACUGAAGAUGUGAUGAUUAACUGAUCCUGCAUUUGAUGAAAAAAAAAGUUUGCACAUUCCAAAGGAGAUAGGUUUCAAAUGACUAUAUAGGGUACAAUUUCCACUGAAGUGAUUUCUCUUAAUCUUAAUCCUUAACCACUCUCAUUGCUACAGUACCUUCCAAAAGUAAGCAUAGUUCAUAAAGUCUUCAGACUGCCUUUUAGCACAUUAACAUACUCUUCACAAUCCCACAAUAAAAGCACCUUAAGUGCAGGGA